CCUGGAUCCGGGAGGCGGUUCCCCGCGCGCCACGCUGGUGGGAGGCCGUGUCGGGGAGAGGGCUAGGUGGGGACGGCCUCGCCCAGCUCCCAGUACAAAAUCCCCGGAUGGUACAAGCAGUUUAUGAUCAGCGGCUAACCCGAAAGGUUGGUGGUUCGAACCCAUCCGGUGGCAUCAUGGGAGAAAGGCCUGGCAAUCUGCUUCUAUAAAGCUUGCAGUGAAGAAAACCCUAUGGAGCAGUUCUGCUGUGUAACACGUGGGGUCACCAAGAGUGGGAAUUGAUUUGGUGGCAGCAGGCAGGAGAUGCCAACAUAGUCUCAAGUGUCCACCUGAUCCAAGAAGUUCAGUCCUCACCAGCAUCCCUCUCCAACCCAUUGUCCAGUCCAAUCCAUGUCUGAAGAGUUGGCUUCGGGAAUGGUUCCUGUCCUGGGCCAACAGAAGGUCUGGGAGAGGCCAGCGUUUUUAAGAAAAACAUGCUAAGAAUAACACUAACAGAAGUUACUGCAGCACGUUAGAUCCAGUUUGCCUCCUGGACUCCAACGGACGGAGCAAAUGUUGGUCUUAUGCUGUUUGAAGUAUGACACACCAUUGCUCUUAUAAACGGAGAACAAAAAUAUUAGGAGUACCAGAUAAUUCUCAGAGAGGCAAGACCACUGAUGAUGAAAUUACAACAUAGAUAAUAGGGAAAUGAGGCAUUUCCCACCCACCUUGAACACCUUUUAUUCCUGCUUAUUUUUAUGAGUGAGGAGAUGAUAUUUAUUUGUUUCAAUGCAAAUAAACUUUCCAUUGCUAUUGAACGACACCAGAUAUAAUCUCCUACAUGACAACUCUGUGUGCUGUGCUUUGAAAUAAUGGACAAGUGACAUUGGUAAGUGACAAGAAGUCAGAGCUGAAGUUAAACUUUGUCUCCUCACAGCAGUAUCACCAGCCUUGGCAAGCUUCCUACCACAACUCCUACUGUUUUCUUCAAGUUCUUCUUUAUUGAUUUCCUGGUUUUCAACAUCAUGGUCUUCAUGUCUUUGAGCAUGGGAAACCAUUGCUGUUUAUAGAUGGAUGAUAGCCAUGUUGAAGGUUCCAGAAAAUUCUCAGGGAUAAUGUAUCUUCAUCUUAAUUCCCUGACCAAUGAAAUGCUUUUCCUUGUUCAGUUUUAAGGAGGACAAUAUUCUCUAAAAUUUUUAUACACAGGGGAAACCAGGCAUUUGCUUUACCUAAAAAAAAAGGCACCUUUAAUGAUUCAUUUCAAGAGGGCACUAGAAGAAGGAACCAUACUUCUAGUGAGGAAUUUCACAUCCAUUUCCUGGCAUUACAAAUGUGUUAGAAAAUAGAAGAGUUAUUUCAUGAAAAUAUAUCGAAGUUUUUUGAAAAGUUCAGCACACAGGUGAGUCAUUAGUUUGCUUAGAAGCCAUUUAAGACACCUUUUCUUGGUGGAAUCGACUGUUCAGAUGUGUAAGAGUCACAGUUAUCAUAUUAAUCAUGACUUCAUUUCUCACUACAUUCCUAAAUUAAGCCAUUCAGCUGCCAGCAUACAAGCUGCUGCUCCAAUAGCAGUAACUCUACUGGCCUUUAUUAAGACAACACCUUGAUCCAGUGAGCCAGAUGCCACCUGAAGUCAUUCAACACUCUUGUAAAGAAGAGUAGCCAUAUUGCUGUGGAUAGCCUCUGGCAUCCUCAUCCAGCCUUCCUUAGAACAGAGAAUUGCCGUACGUGCUUACGGCUAUCAGGGCAGUAACAGGUGACUCUUGACAGUCAUCCCUACCCUGAGCCUCUCUUGUGUUGAUGGCCUUAUAAUCUAUCUACUCUUGUCGGCUUGGGCUCAGUGAGUCUGUGGGUUGGUGGUACCACGGCACACCUAGGACAUCUGGUGGAGAGAGUCCCUGUCCCUGCCCCCUAACCCCAAUGCUACAACACAGCCUCUGACUCCGUACCAACCCCUACUCAGGCACAAGCCCUAAUUCUGCUAACAGAAUGGGAGAAGUCUCCUGGCCAACCUUACCCACACUUAGUGCAUAUUUUGAAAUACGAUACAUAAGGAACAUUAUUAUUAUUUCUUAGAGGUGAGGGUUGCUGGGAAUAAGUGGCUUGUCAAAUAUUAUACACCUUGUGUGUGGUACAGCUAGGACUCCAACCUAAGUCCCUCAUCUUUAUGCCUCUGACCUUAUUCAUUUAAACCAUGACUGCCUCCCAAGCAGUAAUAAUUACUAGUAUUCAAAAUGCCACAAUUCAUGGCACUGUCUCUUUGAUAAAUGCUUCUAUCUUCCAACUUGGGACACUAGCAAUAGCCAUCUCCUCUUGCUUUGUGAAGGGAUGAGGCAGAUAAUUUAUUAAAAAGCAGUGAAUAGCAGUGGCUUGCUUGGUUGCACACAGCGUCUACAGUGAGAAGGCACUUCCGUACAUUUAUGAGUUACUCCUUUGCAUUUGCUCGAGAGGAGUAACAAAUGAUGAAUAGUAAUCAUUUUCCAGGUGUUCUGAGUUGGGGCAUGGACUCAGGGCUUGACUACCUUCUUUGCUGGUUGCCUGCGGAUGAACUGUUUGCAAGUUAGAUGAUUCUGUAUUGGGAACUGCUCACAUUAGAUACCAAAGUGACUGGUCUUACCCACCUGAAAGACUGAAUGCCAAAAUUAAAUGGGAACUUGUGGCUUUUCUUAGCAUUUCUCUUGUUCUAUACCAUAUAUGUAAUCCUGAUUCCUGACAGAAAAGGAGGACAAAUUCAAGGUAUAGUAAUUGAUUAUCUAUAAAAAUAUUAUUUAGAAAAAUUUCCUAUAGUACAAAAUGAAUUCUAAAGAGGUAAUUUUAGCAAAAGAUGAACUGAGUCACUCAAUUAUAAAUGGGAAUAAUGGGCAGGAUAACUCUGGGGACAUUUGGAGAGAACUUGUAAGUCUAAUUUUAGCAGUUAUAUUAUUAGCAAGUGUUAAAACAGAUCUGAGAUUCCCCUUGUCUCUCUUCCUCUGCCCUCCCUUUAGAGAUACAUGUCAGGAAAAUCCCAUGUACUGGAAAGAAAUCUAAAAUUUGAAGGGGGGAUGAAUGUUUCUUAUUAAAAGCAAUUUAAAAAAUAGUAGAUGAUGAAGGCUAAUAGGAUCAGGAUGUUGAGGCAGCCUCAAAGUGCAAACAACUUUUGCUUGUUCUGGGAGGCUACUUUUUCUCUCUAUAAUUUCUUUUACCAGGAUCACCAAAGAGCUAUUUGGUGAAGAAAUCUAACAAUAAUCUCUUAUUCUUCUCAGUUUCCCUAUAGCUUUUGAUAUGGUUUAUCACAGUUUCCUAAAACCACUUCCACUGUGGUCUCUAUGAUGUUUGCAUUUUUCUGAUUUUCAAAUCUGGUACUAGCUUCUUUUUCUCUCCUUUCUCGAUAUAGCUGGUUUCUAAAUCUACUUUGCUGGCAGCAUUUACUUAUCUUUCUGUAUUCAGUCAGUCACAAAAUCAGUUAGUUUUUCUUGUGAUAUGUCCCUUGAACCUCUCCUUCCUUUCCAAUUCCGUCGUUGGAAGCCUUGUUCAGGCCCUUACUGACUUGUGCCUCAGAACUUGGCCAUUCUUUCUUCAAAUUUUCUUUCCCCAAUUCUCUGUAAAAUUAUUGCUUUGGGCACUACUUUGAUGCCUUUUUCCUUCUCAGAAAUUGUAAAUGUUGAGAUCCUGAGUCUUGCCUGCAAUGCCUUCUACUUUCUGGCAUUACUUUUUAUGUUUUCAUUUUUAUAUAGGUGAUUUAUUUUAGUUUAUUUUUAAUUUAAAGUGUAAAACUUGGUGAAUUUUAGUAUACUCACAAAGUUCUGUACCAUCACCACUGUGUAAUUUUCAUCACCCCAAAUAAACGCCAUACCAAUUAGCAGUCACUCCUCAGUUCCAGGCAACCACUAGCCUACCACUAAUCUACUUUCUGUUUCUAUAGAUUUGCCUAUUCUGGACAUUUCAUAUAAAUGGAUUCAUAUAAUCUGUGGCCUUUUGUGUGUCACUUCAUUUACUUAACAUAAUGUUUCUAAGAUUCAUCGCUGAAUAAUAUUCCAUUGUGUUGAUAGACCACGUGUGUUUAUCCCUUCCUCAGUUGAUGGACAUUUGAUUUGUUUCUUCUUUUUGGUGACUAUUGAUAACGCUGCUGUGAACAUUCAUGUGUAACCAUAUGUUUUUCAAUUCUGUUGGAGUAGAAUUGGUGGGUCAUAUGAUAACUUAUGGAAACCCUGGUGGCUUAGUGGUUAAGUGCUAUAGCUGUUAACUGAAAGGUCGGCAGUUCGAAUCCAUGAGGCGCUCCUUGGAAACUCUAUGGGGUGGUUCUACUCUGCCCUAUAGGGUUGCUAUGAGUUGGAAUCGACUCAAAGGCAACGGGUUCUUUUUUUUUGGUUAUGAUAACUUACGUUGAACUUUUUGAGGAACUGUCAACUUGAUUUGUAAAGCAGCAGCACUGUGCUCCUAUUUGCUUUUACCGUAUUACCGUUCAUCACUUUCUUUGCAUGCCAUUUGUCUCUAUGUUUCCAUCUACCUGCCUGGAAUUCCCUUCCCUUUUUUGUGAUUUUAAGUCAUGUGAUUUAACUCUUGUCCCAUGAGUGGCUCAGCCUGUGGUGGAUGGAUGACUUCACACCGUUAUUUCUUUCAUUCAUUCUUUCCUUAACAAAUAUUUAUGGUGCUCUGAAAUUGUAACAAGCAGAGUUUUAGGAGAUGAGAAUACAGUGAUAAUAAGACAAGUAACCCUCUGUCAAAUAACUGUGUGUGUAUGAUGCUGUGAUGCCGUGAUGAGUGGUAACUUAGGGGAAGUAGAAACAUGAGGAAGGACCCCUAGCCCAACUCUGAGAGGGUGUGGAUGGCUUUCCAGAAGGAUGCUGAAUCUUGAUGGAGUGGAAGUUAGCCUGAUUAAAGGGAGGGGGCAUGCAGAGGAAGGGAUAACAGGCUGCUAGUCAGAGGCCUGGAGGCAAGGGACAGAAUGAAACCAAGGUGAUCUGCCUGUGGUCGCUGUUGGUGGGGAGGGCAGAAGAAUAAAUUUAAAGAGGUAAGUAGGGCCAUGCUGAGGCAUUUCAACUUUAUCUGGAGGAAAAUGGGAAGCUCCUGAAGAAUGUUAAGUGGAAAAGUGAAAAAAUCAGAUUUGUGGUAUAGGAAGAUUAUCUUAACUAUAGUGAGAAAAAUAAAUGAGAAUGGGGGAAGAUGGGAGACAGGGCUCAGUUAGAAAACACCACGGUAACUCAGGGGAGAGAAGAUGACAGCAGUGAUGAUGUGGGUGGAGUGAAGAGAUAUUAAAGAGGUAGAAUCCCCAAUUCUACCAAUACUUCAUGUCCUAAACACUAUGGAUGAAGAACAAAUGUUACUGUUAACGAUAAUGUUCUGGUUUGGAGUCAUCUUGAAUCUCUAAGAAUCUCGGUACCUUAGAGUUGGAAAGGAGAUUGAAGAUGUUCUAAUCCUAAUCUUACUUCCCACAGCGGGUAAGAGUCUCCUCUACCAUUUAAUAAUGGAAUGCUGCUAUGAAUGUCCAACUUCAUGGCUCUGUGGGUCAGACAACACCCAGUUCAUGACGGGCAGCUCAGGCUGCAUGGUGACCUGGUGGUGGCUCAUGGUAAAGCAUUCAGUCUCUACUAAGGUCCAGAAACAAGCCAAAAACUGUUUCUCAAAAGGAUAGCAGAUAUUUGCAGAAGAUGGCAGGGCUUUACUCCAAAAUCCUAAGAAUCUGCAUUGCGAUUCACCAAUACAGGCCUGCCAAAGACUCCAAAAAGCAUCUCUAUCUGCAGCUGACACUUUGAGCACCAUUUGAUCAGCUAGAUUGUAUGGCCCAAGUGGCAGAGCAGCUUACAUGGCAGCCUGAACAUAUUGCAGAGCCUUCUUUUGUUCUGGGCCCCACUUAAAACUAGCAGAUUUUUGAGUCACUUGAUAUAUAGGCUGGAGUAGCACACCCAGAUGAGGGAUAUGUUGCUUCCAAAAUUCAAAGAGGUCUACCAGGCGUUGUGCCUCCUUUCUAGUCGUGUGAGGGGCCAGAUGGUACAACUUAUCCUUCACUUUAGAAGAACUGUCUUGACGUGCUCCACAUCACUGAACUUGUAGAAAUUUCGCUGAAGUGGAAGGUGCCUGAAUUUUCAUGGAGCUAAUUUCCCACUCUCUAGCACACAAACGUUUUACCAGUAAGUCAGAGUCGUUGCCACUUCUUCCUUUCUAGGUCUAGUCAGCAUAAUGUCAUCAAUGUAAUGGACCAGUGUGAUGUCUUAUGAAAGGGAAAGGUGAUCAAGGUCCCUGUGGACUAAAUAAUAACUUAGGGCUGGAGAGUUGAUUUAACGCUGAGGCAGGACAAUAAAGGUGUAUUUCUGGCCUAGCCAGCUGAAGUCAAACAGCUUCUGGUGUUCCAUCGAAGCUGGAAUCAAGAAAAAGACAUUGGCCAGAUCAAUAUGUGCAUACCAGGUACGAGGAGAGUAUUAAUUUGCUUAAGCAAUGAAACCACAUCUGGAAUAGCAGCUGCAAUUAGAGUCACCACCUGGUUAAGUUUACGGUAACUCACUGUCAUUUUCCAAGAGCCACCUGUUUUUUGCACAGGCCAAAUAGACGAGUUGAAUGGAGAUGUAGGGGUGGGAAUCACUACCUCUGUACCCUUGAAGUUCAUGAUGAUGGCAGUAAUCUCUGCAGUUCUUCCAGGAACGUGGUAUUGCUUUUGGUUUACUAUUUUUCUAGGUAGAGGGACUGUUCUGAUGUCUUCUACUUGGCUUUUCCUGCCAUAAUAGCCCUUAUUCCACUUGUCAGAGAUCCAAUAUGGGGGUUCUACCAGUUGCUGAGUAUAUCUAUUCCAAUUAUGCAUCCUGGAACUGGGGAAAUCACUAUGGGAUGGGUUCAGGGACCCACUGGAUUUGCUGUGAGACAAACCUGAGCUAAGACUUCAUUAAUAACCUGACUUCCAUAUGCCCCCACUAUGACUGGUGGGCCACAGUAGCAUUUUGGGUCUCCUGGAAUCAGUUUCAGUUCAAAGCUAGUAUCUAGCAGUCUCCCCAAAUUCUGAUUAUUUCCUUUUCCUCAGUGAAAAGCUACUGUAGUAAAAGUCCAUAGAUCCCUGCCAAAUUACAUAAUUGCAUAACUGCCAGACUACAUUAUUACAUAACUGCCAAACCACUGAGAAUCAUGGGCCAGCCAUGUUGACUCACAAUCACAACCAUCAGAGGCUCCGUACUUCCACUGACCAUAUUUUCUUAGGGCACAUAACCUAACACUAUAGAAGAAGCCGUGAUGCUGUACUUAACAUUUCAGUCCUUGGGAGGUUGGUCCCCUUUGGAGCAUAUAAGCUGUCACUCUAAGGCAAAGGAGAGUCACUUGGGCAGUGCAAAGCUGAAGUGACACCUAAACCACCUAACUUCAUGCUGAGAUCCUGGGAAUUUCAAUUAAUUCUCUUAAAUAGCUCUUUCCUCAUUGAACUCUCACUCCUUCUCUACGCAUACUCUAGAUUCCAGUCAUUCUUGGCAGUGGCAGCAUCUGUUUAUCAUCUGGACAACCAUGAACUUCAGUAUAGUGACUUGUCAGUCGGACUGGCAGGAGCUGUGGGUUGAUUGUGCCAUCAGGUGGCUGCUAUUCUCCGUGAUCGUCUUUGUCAUCCUGGUUCUAUGGCUACCAUCUGCAAACAGCCAGAGGUUUGCCUUUUCACCAUAAUCUGAGGAAGAGGAGGAGGAGGAGCAAAAGGAACCUACAUUGAAAGAAAGCUUUGAGGGAAUGAAAUUGAGAAGUCCCAAACAAGAACCAAAUGGAGAUUGUAAAGUGAAUAAAGCAGAAGUGUGUGUAGAAGAGGCUGUUCCUUCUUCAGUGACAAAGGUAGCACUUCCGUCCCUUCUGGAUUCAGACGAGGAACAAAUGAUUACGUACUUUGAAAGGUCCAAAAUGGGGUAAAGAAUAUGAAGAAUUGCAAUUGCAGAUGGCUAGUAUUGGGAAGAGAUCAGCUUCUGUGUCAGUUUUCUACCACUGCUCCAUGCGGUUAAAGAAGGCAACGGCUUUCGGAGCUGUUCCUUGCUCUUGGUGCAUUGGAGCUGGCGAGAGGUGUCAGAACUGGGAGAAUCUUAUUGAAAACAACUCCAUAGCAUGAGAAAAAUCUACAAGUUUCUAAUUUCUGACCUUGAUGUCCUUCCCCUCCCACACCGUGACAUGGAUGUUUAUGCAACUUAAAUGUGUUUUUUGGAGCCUUCUAUAAUGUUUCAGUUGUUCAACCUGUCAAACCAAAAAGUUUAGUAUCUUCUAAAGGAUUAUGAUAUUGAGGUCAUAUGUAAUCUCUAGAAACAACUGCCUGCGAUUUUUAUUUAGGGAAUUACGUAGGUGAUGGGGGAAAUUGUUAAUUAUCUGUCAGUUUCUUGGGAAGCCAAGUUUACGUCUUGCAGAGAUAGUUUUGAGAGAAAAGAACUCUCCUGAGUUAAGGAGCCAUGGCUCUCUCAAUGAUUAAAAGAACAACAACAACAAAAAGAGAAACUUACAGUGUGAUUCAGAUCAUUUAAAAAAGCAAGAUCAAGUGCAGUUUUGUUUACAAAUGGUGUAUAUUAAAGCUUUCCUGUUUUACAUGUAACUUAGAAAUACCAGCUUAACUCUUUUGACAUCUACUAUUGUGAUACAUCCCGUUGCUGGCAGUGUGGUGAAAGCUCAGGAACUUCUAGCUGCUGUUAUGUAAGCCGCCCAGGGCAGCGUUGUUGCUUUGUUUGCCUUCCUGCCCUCUGUCCCGGGUGUCGCCCUCCGUCCCGGGUGUCACACUCCCUGCACGGAGGUGCCUGUGAAUGAGCCCCCAGCUAGAGGAACUGUAAUGCUUCAGAAACUGAGCUUGCUACAGAGGAAGCAGGUCCUUCUGGCUUAAUUUCAACAGUUACUCCUGCGUGACGUGAUGUGGAGACCCUGGAUUCUGCUCAUUCUUUAGGACUGACUCUUUAUAUCUGGUGUUGGUUUAGAGACUGUUUGUAAGAGGCUCUCAAGGUGAUGGGAUUCAUUGGAAGCACUACAUUUCUGUUUUAAGGCUUUUAUACAGUUUGCCUCCCUAAGAUUUUUGUUCUAUACCAAAAGUUCAUGCCACUUUUUAAUAUAAAUUUUAACAAAACUAAAAAAAAAAAAAAGAACCACAGGACGGAAAUAGAGAUUUUGCAAUGACCUUUUGCAAUUCUGUGUCCUGUGAGAAGCGAUCAAAGCAAAGAAACUUGGUCUUCAGCGCUUCAGGCAGAUAUCUUAAAAUAGAUCACUAACAUUCCUCUGUCCUUGGAGGAAUGUGGACAAGUCAGAGGAUGAGAACACAAUGGAAUGUUUUGUAUGGCAGAGGAAACAUGGUGGUUUACUUUAAAAAAUUAUUUGCUUAUGUGUAGGGACAGGAUGCCAUUGUUGGGAGGAACUCCAGGAAUCAUCUAGAUUCUAGUUGCCAGAUUUCUCACAGAGAUGAUGAAACGAGGACUGCAGAUGUUAGGUGGUUGGCCUGAGUCCUUUCAAAUCUGGUUCCCGUUCUAGUCCCAACUAGAAUCCAGUUGUUUUCCUGCUCUACGAAGCAAGUUCAUCAAGUUUUACUGCACUAGAUGGAGUAUCAUGUUUUUUUGCUUGUUUCCUUUUUACCCUUUUGAUUUCUCUGCAUUAAAAAAAAAUCAGACAGUUCUUUUUUUGCUCUUGUCUAUGUUUUACAGCUGCUGGACGUGUUUCUCUUUUGGUCCCAAACCCCUUAUUCUUGUCAGGGGGCAACUUUUGAGAAUCUCUACUUUCAGACCGACAACUGAGCAGCCACAGAGGAAUGACCGACCCAUCACACCAUCAGACAGGUGGAGAGGAAGCCAGUAUAAAAGGUGCACCUGCAUGAUAAAAUAGCAGCACUAGAUGACUAAGACAGGGUGAAAAGUACAUAAGGACAGAGAUGACUUUGUCCGGUUGUUCUGCAAACACAGAUGCUGCGUUCUGAAGCUUUCUGAAAGGAGAAAGGUAAAGAAGCGUUAGAGCAAAUGCUGUUUUAUCAACUCUGGCUUCAUCGUGAAACUUUAGAAAAAUGUAAAUACACAGGUCCCAUCCCUGACCAGUCGAAUCAGAAUCUUUGAGGGUGGUGCCCCGACAUUCCAGAUGAUUCUAGGACACGACAAGGAAUUCCAUCACCUUUCUAAUUUCAUGUUUUGGAUCCUGUGGGGGAGAGUAGAAUAAAAGAAAACUCUCUAGUAAGGAACAAAUCCAGCAACAGUCAACUCUCAAAAAACUAAGCAUGAUAAUAAUGAUUAAAACAUUUUUAGCCACUGUUUUAAAAGCCUGUUAGUUUAUGAUAAAAAGUAAUGUAGGAACAUUAUGUUUAAUAUUAUAUAUACAUUUGUAAGAGUCAACUCUAUAAACAUGGCAAUUUAAAGUGCAAUUAUAUAAAGAAAAUGUUUCAUCCUAUGUUACUAAGGGGAUUUAGUUUGUGAACCUUAUUAUUUUACUUAAUCCUCACUUUAGAAGGUAUUUGGGAAAAGGGGUGGUUCUUUUUCAAAAUAAACAAGACGCAUUUUCCUCUUCUGAUUGGAGAAACAGAAAAUGGAGUCCAUAUUGCUCUCACAUGGUACAGUAGCACCGUGGUGCUUCCCUAUUUGUCUUUCUGUCUUGAUGCUCUUGAAGUGGACCAUCAGACAAGAAGGACAAUGUCUUCCUGAUUCUCUAGAGCUGGGCUUAUUCCGGACUCUGGCCUGUCAGGGAUACCUGUUUGCCGUACCUCAUGAGAGCUCUUUUGCCUUCUGCGACUGAUUCCUGCCUCAUCCAGAAGAGAAAAGAUUUCCUGUUUGGGGUAGGAGUUUCCUCCAUUUGGAGGCCUCCAGGUUACCCCUUCUAGGCUUUGUCUCUCUUCCUCUGACUUGCUCUGACUUCCCAGUCUGUAUGUCCUUCCCACUUUCUAGCUUCUUCUACCCAGCCUUUGCAGUUCCCUGGCUCCCGCAGGCACAGGGCAGUGGAAAUGACUCCCAGGGUUGUGGGAAGUGGUUGGAACUCUGACAUCUAGGAAAGCCGCCGAGUGCAAGGAUGGAUGUAAAGCAGGGGUUUUCACCCAAAGCCAAAUAUAUGGAAGAAAAGAAGUAAUGCAUCAUCUCUUUGAAGACCCAGAGGAGAAAGGAGAAAGAGGAAGGUGACAUGGUAGUACUCAGUUAACGACAGGAAGAGAUUAGUGAUCCAAGUCAUAAACCUAGGCUUGGAGAACCAGGGGCCAGCACCAUAGUUAGACUUAUUUUAAAUAUAACCUUGUGUGACAGACUUUGAGCAUGCGCAAAAGAUGUUACUAAUGGGGAACUUUUACUGAAAAUGACUAAAUGGUUAUAUUUGAAGAAAGCAUACAAAUAAAAAUAACUGUAUUUUUCCUUACUAGCUCUUCUCUGUUAAGUUUCCUAAUUCUUUUCGUCAGCAGUCAGAGCAAGUCAGGGGAGGAAAUAGUAAUCCUGGAAGCAGGAACCUGGAGACCUAGAAAGGGAGAAAACUUCUAGCUCAAACAGGAAACCUCUUCUGUGUUUUCCCACAAGAAGGGAAUUGAUCUCAGAGUGUAGAAGGACCUGCAGGAAGAAGCAGGCUGCCUCUCGGAGAGGAUGGUAACCAGGUUGCUUUGCUUGUUUGGAGUUUCGUAUGCUACGCAGCAAGAUAGUAGGAGAAGUUGAAGUUGGCAUGCAAAAUGCUUUGCUUAGGUAAACUUUUAUAUCUUACUUUCCUUCAUUUCUAUCAUAGAGCUGAAAUUCUGAGAAAAAUUACUGUAAACCCAGAAUUUGAAUGUAUUUCUUACUUUUAUCGUUUCUUCAUAGAAAAGAUAGAGGAUCGGGUGACUGUCUUUCUUCCUCCACCAGCCUUUCACAUGAUCAUACCAGGACCCCCAUAACACUGAAAUUAGACACAUAGGAUUUGGGUAAUGAAAAACUGAGAGUAGGAAAAUCCAGAAUAUGAAAUGAAUUGUUUCCUUGGGAUACAAAUGGAAGAUGUCAUGGAUUGAAUUAUAUCCCCCCAAAAAUGUGUGUAUCAGUUUGGCUGGGCCAUGAUUUCCAGUAUUGUGUAGUUGUCCUCCAUUUUGUGAUUGUAGUUUUACAUUAAAGAGGAUUAGGGUGGAAUUGUAACACCCUUACCCAGGUCACAUUCCUGAUCCAAUGUAAAGGUGUUUCCCUGGGGUGUGGCCCACACCACCUUUUAUCUUUCAAGAGAUAAAAAGGAAAGGAAAGCAAGCAGAGAGUGUAGGACCUUGUACCACCCAGAAGAAGGCACUGGGAGUAGAGCGUGUCCUUUGGUCCCAGGGUCCCUGUGCAGAGAAGCUCCUGGUCCAGAGGAAGAUUGAUGAGAAUGCCAACAGAGAGGGGAAGCCUUCCCCUGGAGCUGAUACCCUGAAUUUGGACUUUUAGUCUACUUUAUUGUGGAGAAAUAAAUUUCUGUAUGUUAAAGCCAUCUACUUGUGGUAUUUCUGUUAUAGCAGCACUAGAUGACUGAGACAGAAGGUGUGGUAGGUAGUACUAUAAAGCUGGAGAACUAGCUUUCAUGAUUUCUGUCUACCUUUUCAAUACUACUUUUCUUUCUUUUGGAAGCUGGCAAGAUCACUAUCUCAGGCUCUGGAGUCAGACUGCCUGAGUUUAAAUCUGGCUCUGAUACUUACUAGCUGUGUGACCUUGGGCAAUUUAUUUAACCUCCCUGAGCCUCAAGUUUUUUAUACCUAUCUUUGAAAAAGGGUUAAUAAUAGUAUCUAUCUCAUAAGGUAAUAUUAAUAUGUGUUAACUUAUUCCAUAACCCACCUACUGCUGUUGAGUUGAUUCUGACUCAUAGCGACCCCAUAGGGUUUCCCAGGCUGUAAAUCUCCAUGGAAGCAGACUGCCACAUCUUUCUGCCACAGAGCAGCUGGUGCUUUCAAACUGCCAGCCUUUUGGUUAGCAGUCGAUCACUUUAACCACUGUGCCACCAGGGCUCCUUAACUUAUUCCACAGGGCCUACUAUAUGCUAAAAUGUCCUUGGUUUACAGAAAUAGCUUAUGCUCUGCUACUGACUUAAAGGUUAGUGGUUCAAACCUACCCAGUGGUGCUGCAGAAGAAAGACCUGGCAAUCUGCUUCCAUAAAGAUGACAACCAAGAAAACCCU
This is an RNA transcript of Loxodonta africana (African savanna elephant), 12987 nucleotides long. RefSeq lists it as uncharacterized. The record is from RefSeq and is a predicted model, not a curated record. The transcript has 8 exons. NCBI's taxonomy places the organism in Eukaryota, Metazoa, Chordata, Mammalia, Proboscidea, Elephantidae.